AUACUUACCUGGUGGGGAAGACAUUAUGAUCUUGAAGAUAGAGGCAAAAAAAAAAAAAAAAAGUUUUUCCAGGGUGAGGUUCAUCCCUUGCACUCUGGCUGUGCUGAUUCCUGUGAUUUCCCUGCACGCAGGAAACUUGACUGUAGAAUUUGUGGUAGUGGGGGGCUGCGUCUGCAAUCUCCCG
This 184-nucleotide small nuclear RNA is filed under the name Alligator sinensis (Chinese alligator). Its description in RNAcentral is "U1 spliceosomal RNA". It matches the Rfam family "U1 spliceosomal RNA". Rfam says of the family: U1 is a small nuclear RNA (snRNA) component of the spliceosome (involved in pre-mRNA splicing). Its 5' end forms complementary base pairs with the 5' splice junction, thus defining the 5' donor site of an intron. Lineage: Eukaryota; Metazoa; Chordata; Crocodylia; Alligatoridae. The record is from Rfam by way of RNAcentral.